This 254-nucleotide ribosomal RNA is filed under the name uncultured bacterium. RNAcentral's name for it is "partial 16S ribosomal RNA". It matches the Rfam family "Bacterial small subunit ribosomal RNA", at positions 524 to 776 of the family's 1533-position model. The record is from RNAcentral.
UACAUGGGGUGCAAACGUUGCUCGGAAUUAUUGGGCGUAAAGCGCACGUAGGCGGUUCGUUAAGUCGGAUGUGAAAGCCCUCGGCUCAACUGAGGAAGUGCACCCGAAACUGGCGAGCUUGAGUACGAAAGAGGAUCGCGGAAUUCCCGGUGUAGAGGUGAAAUUCGUAGAUAUCGGGAGGAACACCGGUGGCGAAGGCGGCGACCUGGUCCUUGACUGACGCUGAGGCGCGAAAGCGUGGGGAGGCAAACAGG